CCAUCGGUGGUUUAGUGGUAGAAUGCUCGCCUGCCACUCGGGCGGCCCGGGUUCGAUUCCCGGCCAAUGCA
Molecule: transfer RNA, 71 nt
Filed under: Cordylochernes scorpioides
Lineage: Eukaryota; Metazoa; Arthropoda; Arachnida; Pseudoscorpiones; Chernetidae
Description: tRNA-Gly
Rfam family: tRNA
About the family: Transfer RNA (tRNA) molecules are approximately 80 nucleotides in length.
Source: RNAcentral